ACUCCUACGGGAGGCAGCAGUGGGGAAUAUUGGACAAUGGGGCAACCCGUAGCAUCCAGCCAUGCCGCGUGUGUGAAGAAGGCCUUCGGGUUGUAAAGCACUUUCAGUAGGGAGGAAAGGUUGUACGUUAAUACCGUGCAGCUGUGACGUUACCUACAGAAGAAGCACCGGCUAACUCCGUGCCAGCAGCCGCGGUAAUACGGAGGGUGCAAGCGUUAAUCGGAUUUACUGGGCGUAAAGCGCAUGCAGGCGGCCUGUUAAGUCAGAUGUGAAAGCCCGGGGCUUAACCUCGGAAUUGCAUUUGAAACUGGCAGGCUAGAGUCUUGUAGAGGGGGUG
This 337-nucleotide ribosomal RNA is filed under the name uncultured bacterium. RNAcentral's name for it is "bacterial SSU rRNA". It matches the Rfam family "Bacterial small subunit ribosomal RNA", at positions 335 to 662 of the family's 1533-position model. The record is from RNAcentral.